RNAcentral lists this ribosomal RNA (514 nucleotides) under Escherichia coli. RNAcentral's name for it is "bacterial SSU rRNA". It matches the Rfam family "Bacterial small subunit ribosomal RNA", at positions 398 to 904 of the family's 1533-position model. Lineage: Bacteria; Pseudomonadati; Pseudomonadota; Gammaproteobacteria; Enterobacterales; Enterobacteriaceae. The record is from RNAcentral.
CGCGUGUAUGAAGAAGGCCUUUCGGGUUGUAAAGUACUUUCAGCGGGGAGGAAGGGAGUAAAGUUAAUACCUUUGCUCAUUGACGUUACCCGCAGAAGAAGCACCGGCUAACUCCGUGCCAGCAGCCGCGGUAAUACGGGGGGUGCAAGCGUUAAUCGGAAUUACUGGGCGUAAAGCGCACGCAGGCGGUUUGUUAAGUCAGAUGUGAAAUCCCCGGGCUCAACCUGGGAACUGCAUCUGAUACUGGCAAGCUUGAGUCUCGUAGAGGGGGGUAGAAUUCCAGGUGUAGCGGUGAAAUGCGUAGAGAUCUGGAGGAAUACCGGUGGCGAAGGCGGCCCCCUGGACGAAGACUGACGCUCAGGUGCGAAAGCGUGGGGAGCAAACAGGAUUAGAUACCCUGGUAGUCCACGCCGUAAACGAUGUCGACUUGGAGGUUGUGCCCUUGAGGCGUGGCUUCCGGAGCUAACGCGUUAAGUCGACCGCCUGGGGGUACGGCCGCAAGGUUAAAACUCAA